RNAcentral lists this transfer RNA (65 nucleotides) under Erinaceus europaeus (western European hedgehog). It matches the Rfam family "tRNA". Rfam says of the family: Transfer RNA (tRNA) molecules are approximately 80 nucleotides in length. Lineage: Eukaryota; Metazoa; Chordata; Mammalia; Eulipotyphla; Erinaceidae. The record is from Rfam by way of RNAcentral.
AGAGACAUGGUUCAGUGGUAGAACAUAGGAUUUUCAAUCCUAAGGUCCUGAGUUCAGUGCCUCAC